GAAUUUCUUCUAGAGCAGAAUCGUAUGACGAUAAGAACAAAAGUGGGAAAAGGAAGACAUGGAAUAAACUAUUUGCCGAGUAUGCUAGAAUGGCAAGAAGUAAGGAGGGCCAGGGCAAGGAAGUGUUCCAGAAGCUCCUGUUUCUUAUUCGUGACUGGCAAUAUCCUGGAGAGAAACCGUUUGGAUUGGAAGGAGGACAAGAGCUGCUUGACCCUUGUCUUGAAAGGAACCACACACUGCCCCGUGAAGUCUACGAUCUGCGCGAAAACAUCAGAUCCAGCUUCGCCGAAGUGAGAUGUUUCCUCUUGCCUAGACCUGGUGACGCGAUAGAGAACUCGAGCUUCAACGGGAAACUUCGAGAUCUUUCUACAGAUUUUAAAUGUCACAUAAAGGAUCUCGUGCCUUUUCUUCUUUCACCCGAAACGGUUGUUCCAAAAAGGAUCAAUGG
Long non-coding RNA from Ornithodoros turicata, 448 nucleotides. RefSeq lists it as uncharacterized. The record is from RefSeq and is a predicted model, not a curated record. The transcript has 3 exons. NCBI's taxonomy places the organism in Eukaryota, Metazoa, Arthropoda, Arachnida, Ixodida, Argasidae.